RNAcentral lists this long non-coding RNA (27203 nucleotides) under Eucalyptus grandis. Its description in RNAcentral is "long non-coding RNA (EGRA_LNC002355)". The record is from RNAcentral. Lineage: Eukaryota; Viridiplantae; Streptophyta; Magnoliopsida; Myrtales; Myrtaceae.
UGGAACUCUUCUAAUAAUAUUCAAAGAGGUCGGCAAUGGAGAUCAUUGAUCUUUCCGUUUUUCGAAAAAGAAAGUGCGAAAGUGCAAUCACCAAAGGGUAUGCUCGUCAAUUCACACGGUGCUCCCCAUUAGCUACAGCACUUACAGGACUUCUAUAAGAGGAGAAAAGGAGGCACCAUGAUUCCAUGUCUACCCAAAACCCACAAAGCAAACAGGAUUGCAUCAUUCCCUGCCCCAGGCACAGCUUGCCUCUAGCUUGCCUUUAGCUUUGCGCCCAAAAACGAAACAAUCGAGCAAAAGAUGGAUCAAAAUGACAACCUGAUGAAAGUCCAGAAUGUUCACAAAAUCAACAGCAAGAACAGCCACUUCCUCAUGAGGGCUUUGAAAUUUGUCAUCUCGAUCUCUCUGCUGUCCUUCGUUGUGUGUUAUUCCUCAGGAUACUCUUUCUUCCCUCACUCCUUCAACCUCUGCUUCUCCACGAUCCUCUUUCGGAUUUUCACUCGCUCCCUUGAGAGGAAGUUCAUGUUCCUCGUCUGCAACGGGAUCUUAGCUUUUCUUGCCAAGAGCUCCUGCAGUUCUAGCAGCUCUUCGCCAUCAGGGUCUGAUCUUGAUGGUGAUGAUGAAUUGUUCAGGAAAAAAGACAGGUCGGCUUUGGAUGACUUACCCGAGGAUGAGAUCAAAGUUUCAGCUUCUGGAUCAUCAGAAGUUGAAGCUGUGACUGCUGAAGAUGCCGCUACUACUGGGUAUAACGAGUACCAGGAAAAUAAUCUGGUUCUUGCGUCUGGAGAAGAAGAGGGGGAGGAGGACGACGAGAAACUUCAAGUUCAAGGAAAAGAUACAGAGGAAGAAGAUGAAGCUGAGCAACAGGAAGAGCAAAUAUUACAAGAAACUGAAUUUGCCAAUACAGGAGCAGAAGAACAAAAUGAAACUUGGGUCGUGGAAGAUGAUGACAGGCUCAGCAAAGAAGAAGAAGAAGAAGAAGAAGAAGAAGAAGAAGAAGAAGAACUAGAAGAACGUGGCUACAUGGGGAAAGAACCAGAAUCACCAGCAGUUGCUACAGGGAGUGAAGAGAUGAUGAGUACGGAGGAGUUGAAUAAAAAGUUCGAGGAAUUCAUUAGGAAGAUGAAAGAGGAGAUCAGGAUUGAAGCUAAAAGUCAGCUGAUUGCAGUGUGACUGCAAGACAAUCAUGUACAUAACGAGCCAACUAAGCGAAUCCCAUCAAGGGUUUGUCCCUUUUAGGGUGGAUGGCGACGAAGCUCUCAUGUUCAUGACUUCUGUUUUCUUUCGAGGUCAUCAUGUUGUCUUUUUCUCGCACCGUUAGUCCUGUCCUAAGAUCAAAUAGCAGCUAAGUUUAAUAAACAAAAUCUCUAGCCUUUCUUCUUCUACCUCCCUCAAAUUAUAUCGCUCUUGACGUUCAACAGCGAAGAACAAAUUUCUAUGCAUCUUCAUCUUCUCUUUACAGCUCUUCAGCAAGAGUAGAAUCCAAGGAAAAGGAAAGACCGAUCACGUCGUAAUCUAUAAAAUGAAAGUUUUGUGUUUUUGACAUCAUUUGUAUUCGUAACUUUCAAAAGUCGCGGUCUAACAAGCCCCCCAAAAAAGAGGAUCAAGCCCGUAAUCUUGGAGGUAGUCCUCUAAUCAUUCGUCGUUCCGUACUCUCGUUCUCUCUUCGCGUGAGACUUAGGGAUUCACGGUGUGAAAGGGACGAACGCGGAAACGGCGCGCUCUUCAGUUGACUUGGGGCUGGAGUAACGUAGAAAACGCUAGAAAGAGGGAGACUCCCCUUGUCGUUGGACAAGUAAUUAUUACUAUGACAGAACUAAAGGGUCAUGCUCUUUCGACACGCUCACGAGUGAUGUGAUCAUGUGAUGUAAUGCCUCUACUCUACUGCAGCAAAUGAAGCUUCCCGGUUCCUUGGCAUCAGAAACAACGGAAGUACCAAAUUCUCAGUAAGAAAGAGAUGAUGACAUUAAGGAACAAGAUAAUCAUGGCUGUUUGAUGAGGGAAGGAGUAAUGAAAAACUACAGCAAUAUUAUAACUUUCUAGAAGUUGUUCACAGCGGCAUAGUCUCGUCUUGUUGGAUAUAUAUCAAACAAGCCAUCUUGGGUCUAAGUGGACUAGUAUUUCUCACUCUAGAAUUCUUGGAAUUCCUACAAAUAGAAUUAGAAUGCAAAUGAUUUCAUAGUUUUAAAAUAGAUAUUCCAAAAUCGCUGAGGGCUAUUUCGGAGGUCACUCCUCAUUUGUGAAGAGGAGAUGGGGAGUUUGAUUCUUCACAUUAUUUGGGAGCUGGGGUUUGGACAUGCGGGUGAGGGAAUAGAGUUUCGCAACUUGUGCAUAAUACAUAGUACAAUGGUUUGUAAAAGAGAGAUAAGAUAAGAUUAGACCAAAAAAAAAGAAAAAGAAGAUAUCUCAAGAUGUGUCUCAGGAAAGUUUUAGAUUUGACUUUGAGAUCAUUAAUUAAAUUAAACUUUGGUGAUUGAUGGGCAAUACCAAGUCAUCUUUUACACAAGGACUUGAAUCUCCAGACCCGCGCUUCUCGUUCUCAUUUUGUUUGUGAGGACAGGAGGAUCUACAUAUUUCCAAUAGAUUUUAACAGUAGCUAGAAAGCGAAGGUCGUAAUAGCUCAUAACAUAAUACAAGAUUUUUGUGCCAUGAUUAGUUAUAUGAUUGCACAUCAUUGAAAAACUUGAACAAAAGUUGCUUAUUUUUAUGACAAGGGACCGCAUCACGAAGGCCACUACUAUCUUUGAGCCUAAAUGUAUUUUGCAUUAUAAUAAUCCAAAGUUGACCAUGCCAACUUUGUGCGACUCUUCAAUUAUUUAGUUUUCUUUCCAUCACAUGCACAUAAAAAUGUUCUUAGAGGCAGACCAGAAGAUGUGGGUGGUGAAGGAAAGGCGAUUGAGAUACAAUAUCUCAAACCCUUUUUAUUAACAACACACUUUAUAACUGCGCAAGACCCACCAAAGACAUGUACUGAUCGUGCACAGAGAAACGAGACGAAGUUCAUGAUCAUCACUAGCUAGGAGAAGCCAAAGUGACUCUGAAAUCUGAGCUUCGACCUCAAUGAUAACAUGCUUUUUAGACAGACAAGAUGGCCUCAGUUAGACUGAGCAGAAGCGCCAAAACCGACUCUUAGACAAUCUUCCCAAGUGGUAGAAAUCCCCUUUUGCUUCUGCCACCUACCUCACGUGCUCUCCAUUGGAGGAGCUCCAAGUGUCGGCUCUUUGAAACGAUGGGUGCCAAUUAUUGGGUGCAUCAUUCAAUUCAAGUAGAUGCAAGGGGAGAAAGUAGCAUUCCAUGACUUGAGACCCUCUUGGUUUCAUCAUCAAUUUCUUGUGGUCUACAUGAUCUUUUCAUAGAAUGUCAAGCUACAUAAUGGGCACACUCAAAUACCCAAUAAUGUAAAAAAAAAAAAAAAAAACCCAAUAAUGUGUUUUUUUUUGGGGAGGGAGAGGUUUUUUUUUUGGGUUGUUGAAACUUGAAAGCAAUUACGUCUAAAAAUAUAAGCACAUAGAAAAUCCUCCAGUGUGGAAGAUUAGGGCACAUCGCAAAAAAAAAUCGUAAAUAUCACGAAGCAAAAUUGACAUCGUGUUAUGAUCCGGAUACUAAAUAGUGUCCUCAAAUACAUAUGCAAUUAUCUUGAUAAAUCAAUAUAAUGUAAGGAUGGUUCUUCAUAACAAUAUGGUACAUCAUACGGGAUUGAUGUUUAGUAUCAUCUUGAAUCGAUGAAAAAAAAACAAACCGUUAAGUCUUGUAUCAGUAUUUAACAGAACUGACAAGCUCAGUACUUUUUUGUCUUUCCUUGAACACAAAUACACAUGGCAAUACUUUCCUUCAAAGAACGACUAUUUCAUGUGCAUCAACAGCAAAUUGGAACAAAGAAAAAAGUUUAGGGCCAUUUUACAUCGCAACGAAACAAAAGACAAGCCCCCCGAAGUGCCAAGAUUUUAAUGUGACAAAGGAAAGGACAUGUUGGCUGAGAACUCCCGGUGAAGGAGACGUUCCUCUCUCUCCUAGUGUUGUGAAAACCGACCAUUCCUUGAGCUCCGUACACUUAUGUGGUCUCAAGAACUCUGCUCAUCAUUUUCAACUUCUCUACCACUUCACCAUAUCCACAAAAUAUCUGUUAAAAUGAGAGCGUGCUAAGCUUUAGACAUGGGGCCAUCUUGAGAGAGAGAGAGAGAGAAGAAGAAGAAGAAAAAGGAGGUUCAUAUUGAACUGGAAAUACGUCAAAAACAGGGGCACGUGACAUUCAAUAAAAAAACGAGUGGUCUAGAGACAUCCAACAAGGGACGGAGAACUGAUGAAACGCGAAGUGUUUUGGCUCUGUCUUGGAGUGUAGAUGAAUCGGUAGUCCCAGUCAUUUGUUCCAAAAUACUCGAUCUCUCCUACACAUGAAAGAACCAUCUGUCCCCAUCCGUAUGUGCAUUGAAAUUCAAUCACCACAGCAGUAUUUUUGUCAGCAGUAUUUUUGUCUAGAGUUAAGCUGUAUACACUCCAAAACCGUCUUCUAAUCGCAAACUAUUAAGUAAAAUGAUCUCCUGAUACGGUACAGGAGCAUAAGAUUUUUCUUUUUCCUUCGGCCGCAGCAUCAUACCAUAGGUGACAAGUUUGUCAUCCCGCACAUUCUUCUGUUCAUUUUCUCAGCCAAACGGCAUAAUGCCCGUGUUCCGUGCGUGCAUAAGGUAAAGCUUGCAUUGGGAAAGCGUUAACAUAGCAUGCACUGUGGUUUAAUAAUUUUGACAGUUUAGGCUUUUUUACAAGUAGGAAUGGUCUAACAAUUACAUAGAACAGAACCGGGGGACUUUUACAAAUGGGAAAAAACAGAGUCCAGUCUGCAAAAGAAACUAGAAGCAAACUAUAUCUGAAACACCCAAGUUCUCAAACACCCUAAAGAAGUCAAUCAACAAUGAUAACAGCUGAAGAGCACUUACUGCCAUUGGCGAGGGUGACUAAGGUUUGAAACAGAAGCAGCUUCUUAGCCCUCUUUUUUCUGGUUGAAUGAAGAGAAAUCGGUGAUGGUUGAAGAAGGAUGAAGUUUGUUGAGUCACGCCUAAUACUUCUUCCAGGUGGGCUUCCACUUAAAAAUUGUAAAUCCCAAAGAGGAGCCGAUGACGCAUGAACUUCUGAUUGAGGUUAAAGUAUUAAUAAACGACCGUAGAGCCAGAGAAAGCCAUUUGGAACGCGACCGGCCAGGAUGUUUCCGUUGCUGUCUCUUAGUUUGCAAGGAAAUCUCCGCCAAGUGAUUGUCAAAUGACUUGACUUGGAUCUUGUCGUCUGUUCUGCAUCCGAAACCGUGUCAGCAUAUGACAAUCCCAUGUCAAGAAACAAAGCAGGGAGAAGAAAUCGGGGGGUGAUUAUGAGGACUCCCACCGAGGAUUUUGUCCAUCUUGCUGUCUUGGAACAGUGAAGGGGUAAUAAACCCUGCAAAUGUCUGAAUUUUCAUAAAUUUUACAGCCAAGCAUUUUUUUUUAAUUAUUCAAUCAAAUACCUCGAUUUUUUAAAUGUUGGUCAACGUAAGAUCUCCGUUAAAUAAAUUACCGUAUCCUAACUAAACAAAAUUAUGUCAAUUCUAUUUAGGUGAUGGGCGAUGAGGAGAGAGGGAAUGUUGACUUGAACAAUCCUAGUCGUUGAAUGCAACUCUAGGACAUCAUUUGAAGAGGCCAUAUCAAACUCCAAUUUGGAUCAUUAAUGGCUGUUUAACGACCUCAGAGUCCAAUUCUUGACAUUUUUUAUCUGUAAUUUUGAUGGAGAUCUCAUAUUAACCCACAUCAAAUUGAGCUACUUCUUUGAUUAAAAAAAUAAUCUAGGCACUCGAUUAUGAAAUGAUUAAAAGUUUAGGCAUUUGUGAUUUGAUUAUCCCUUGUAGGGAACAAGGGAAAUGACACAAAGGAGAAUAUUUCAUGGCAUUGCCACGGAGUCUUCCUCACUUUGGAGCUUAUGUGUAGUGCGUGGCAGAGAAUUUGUUUUUUUCUAUUUGUUUUUUACUCUUCCGUGUUCUCUUUUGCUGAAAAGCCCCCAUAAAGAUGAGGGUCACGGUUUAAUCCUUUAACUUGUAGCAAGUUGCGGUUUCGUCCUUCUAUUCUUUGAAGUAGGGGUGUAAACGGUUCGGUUCGGUUUUUUUGAAAAACCGAACCGAACCGAACCGAACCGUUAGAGAAAAUUUCCGAACCGAACCGAACCGAAUAAGUAGUUCGGUUCGGUUCGGUUCGGUUUUUCGGUUUUCAAAUUUUGGGUUUCGGUUUUCGGUUUUUGAUUUUUAUUAUUAUUAUUAUUAUUUUUUCGGGACGGCUUACCUUCUGUUCGCCAGACUCCACCCAACCAAUCAUCGCUUCGAAAGACUUGGAUUAAAGUGAACAGAACUGAUCUAUGAGAAAUACUUCCUUCCAUUUGGGCAAAAAAGAGGAAUACUACAAAACAACUAAAUAAUUCCCCCGAGCCCACAAAUCGCUUCCUCCCAACUUCGGAGACAAACGGCAGACACUUCACAUCUUUCCUCUCCGACCAUCUAAUCUCCUUCAAAGCGUGAAAUUGAAAGGACCCUUUAGUCCAUCAACAAGCUCAAUUCCAGCCAACGCCAUGCUUCCCUACGAAAAUAAGAUCCGACCCAGUGUAAUUUUGUCCCUUCAACUACAAGAUCAGAGACACCAACACCACCGACCGGAGAUCCGACACCAUUCGCAGACCACAAGGACGUCAAUCCGCACAAAAAAAAAAAAAAUCGCAUCUUUCGAAGUCCAAGCAUCAGCAAAACCGAAACAGGCAAACCGAAAACUACCAAACAAAGCCGGGCACAUCGAGCUAGAGAUGCGAGAGCAAAAACCGGAACCUCGAGGACGACGACCCACGAUCGCAGGAAGCGAUGGAUGAGAAGAGGUGAACUCAAAAGAGAGGAGGUACCUUCGAUGGCUCGAGAGAGAGAAGGAGAGGAAGAGGGCGAGGAAGCGGCGGCGACUGGAGUAGGAAUUGGAGGUGGACGACUCGGACAGGGAGGUGGCGAGGGGCUUUUAUAUGGCUAUCGCCGUCCCUACCGCCGUCGCCGUUGCAGUCGUCGUCCCUGCCGCCGUCGCCGUUGCACCUCCAAGCCGACCAAGAGGAGACACGAGACGAGAGGAGAGGGCCAGAGUCGAGACAGAAUAAAACCUAGAGUCGGGACUGACGGGACGGGAGAGAAUAAACCGAACCGAUAAAAGAGAUUUUAUCGGUUCAUGGUUCGGUUCGGUUUGGUUAACCGAUAAAAACCGAACCGAUAAAAGAUAUUUCGGUUUUUAACGGGAACCGAACCGAAAACCGAACCGAAAAAACCGAUUUUUUCGGUUCGGUUCGGUUCGGUUUUCGGUUCGGUUCUUGACACCCCUACUUUGAAGCAACCAAAUUCUCUAAAUUGCUGAACACAUUCCCUACUUCAGUACAUAGCUCUGUGACGUGGGAAACGCGGUGCUGGUCUGGCAUGCCGCACCAGCAUAACACAAGAGGCCACUAAAAUGAGGCCACUAAUCUCUAACACGCCAACGUAUUCUAUAUAAAAAUUUAUGACUGAAUCAAUACGGUUUGACCUAUAAUUUCUCGUUUAUGUACAUCAAUAAGAUCCUACCAUUUAGCAGCAUCUCAAAUUUAAUUUUGGUUCCUAUAACAUUCUGUGAUCAUAUAGUUAAAUUUUCUUUGGAAUUUCAGCAUAAAAUUCAAUUUUCUCCCAGAAGUGCAUGGAAUGGCACUUAAUUUAGGAAUAUGUACUUUAAAAUAUUCACACUUUAUUUUUGCAUAUCGAAAAUGCAUUUGGCGGACCUUCUUUUUCUAAUGCUCUGGAGAUGUUUUCAAGAAAUAAAUCAGAGGAAGAUAAGACAUAUACUUUUGAGUUUUCCUAUUUUUUUUUUCUUUUAAAAGAUCAAAUGUAGCAACGACAGCAACAUUAAAAAAAAAAAAAACUCUAAAAUGAGGAAAAACAUUAUUUCAUGAAAUUAUUUAGACAGGUCUUUCCAGCCGGCCCAGUUACAUUAUAAGGCCUCAAUUCUCAGUGCAAGCCCAUCAUCUCCAUCUCGAAUCUUGAACUACCCCGUGCAAUUUAUAUCGGUCUGUCAUCAGUAUCCUCUCUUUCAUCCAUUGACAAGGCGCACCAGAAAAUGCUUUGCCACCACUCAUACAUAUGACCUAAAAGAAACAGUGCCCCGAAAAGGAAUGAAGACACUGGUUCUGCAAUCUCAGUUCCUUCCAAGAAACACCGAGCUCUCCAACCCAAGAUCUAAUGUCACCACUGUCAUCCCCUCAAGAAUCAUCACAUCAUGCAGUAAGCACCACCCUCCACCACCUCCUUCUUCAUCAGAAUCAGCAUCAGCAUCUUCCGGAUGCAAUUCCAUUGCAAGACCCACAAAAGCCAUACAGAAGUCCCAUAAUCAGCACUCUCAUCAUGUUUCACUAGAUGGGGGUUCAAGAAAGGUGGUUUUAGGUGCUGUUUCACUUGGGAUUGUGCUAUUCCUUAUGGGAUUUGAAGACCACCGCAACAAGGCUUUGGCCUUCGGUCCAGAAGGGCCACUUGCAGAGGAGUUCUGGGACAAUGUCAGGAGAUAUGCACUCCAUGCCCUCACAGUGAGUACAGGCGCUAUUUACACCAUAUUUCAGCCCAUCCUGGAGCUGCUCAAGAACCCGAUUUCUGCGAUCCUGAUCCUGAUGAUCUUAGGAGGUAGCAUCUUCAUUGUGUACCAGGUGGUGGCUACCAUGGUUGGGGUUAACGAAUUCUCUUAUGAUUAUGCAUCUUAAUUGAUCCAAAGUCUCAAUUUCUCCUGAAGAUAGAUUCUCUCGUGUCUUUUCAUGUUGCUCUCUGCUUUUAUUCCUUCGAUACAUGAACCAUAGUUCUUGGCACAGUAGAACAUUACCAAAGUCUUGUUCAGAAUACAUGAUGAUAUUAAUUGCUGAUUGAUCUUGCCUAUCUCUUGCAUAAUGUCCUAUAAUGUCAGUCAAUGAAACAGGACUCUGUAACUAUGUGUUGAAUGCUUGACAUAUUAAAACGUAUCCAAUUACGAAUAGUUUGGUUUUGGAGUUUGCGAUGGUUAAAUACUCGAUAGGGCAGCACAGUUUGUUAAAUAGCACGAACGAGUCCUUGAGAUGUGUUUAUUUUCGAGGCACAAUGUUGUCUCAAGCAGUUGACAACUAAAGCAUAGACUAAUCGAUUGAUCAGCUCAUGUUCUAUUGCAAAUAUAUAGAGCACAAUCAACAUAAUUAACCUGGCCAUUGUUAAUAAGAACAUAAUAUAUUCGCACUAUUAUGCCAUGAACAUACGAAUUGUGAAUUAUUUUUAAUGAGUACAAAUGCUACAUCCUCAAUUAUUUUAGUAAAAAUUAUUGUAUUCGACCACACGCUAUAAAAUCAACAUAAUUAACUUGGCCGUUAUUAACAAGAACAUAAUAUAUUCGCACUAUUAUGCCAUCAACAUACGAAUUGUCAACUUGUAUUGGUAAAUGCAAAUGCUCCAGGCUGGAAUAUUUUAGUAAAAACUAUUUUCCACAACGUGAUAUAGAAUCGACAUAAUUAACUUGGCCAUUAUUAAUAAGAACAUAAUAUAUUCACACUAUUAUGCGAUGAACAUUCAAGUUGUCAAUUAUUUUAAUUAAUACAAAAUGCUACAUGUUGAAAUAUUUUAGUAGACACUUUUUCAAAAAAUGCUAUAGAAUCAAUGUAUUUAAUUGCUCUAUUUAGUUAUAUAAUUGGCUCAAAACGAGCUUUUUUUCCCUGAGAUUGGCUUUGGCCCUUCAUUACAUAGCUUAGAAAAUAGGCGGAGAAGGCCUCCUUCUGAAGUUGUCUGAGCCAUUAGUAAAAUACUACUCUAGAAGAUCUCUCAUUUUCUUUUUCUAGGUUUAUUGAUUUUGAAUCGAUUGAAUGCACUUCUAACACUUGUUUUACUAUUGGAAGACCCUGCAUUAUAACAUCGAAUCUAGAUUUUUCAUAUAUAAAUGUGACUAAUGUAUCACCUAUGUAAAGGAUUUCUCCGUAAUGACCACGGAUAGUUGUUUUUGUUAAAUAUGUAUGAGUUUAUAAGUGUAAUUUCAGAAAAGCAUUAGAGGAACACUUACAUUAGCAUACCCUAAAUAUAAUUCAUAGAUCUUAUGCAUGGUACUAUAAAAAAUCCAUACAUUGAAGAAAUUUCUUUUUCUAACUGGGGCACCGGGUUCGGUCUGUAAUCAUUUCUUAUCGCUACCAAAAGAACUCUAUUCUGUGCGUGUGGUGUCAGAUAACUAUCUUUCGUGAGUAGGAUAUCUAAGAAUACUCCAUGAAUUACUUCAGAAAUGGUGAAGAGUAAGGACAGAAGCAGCAAAAGAGAAAAUGAAGAAAAGAAUAACAAUGGAAUCUGGAAUGCAAAGACAGGUCAGUCAGCUUGGACAGUAGGAAAUCUUGCUUUGCCCUCUUGACAAAAGGAAAAAGUUCAUACGCAAACUCGAGCUGGAAGAGCACAAUUCUGCAUAUACGCAGUCAAGAUAACUCUCUAACUCCAAAGUAGUAGAAAACUAGACCAGCCAGCUCCCACAUAACUAACUAAGCAAAAUCAUAGUUGUUGACACUUAAUUUUUUGCAAAUCUAGGAAAAUAAAGAAAAUAAAAAUUGCAUUGGAACAAAAAAAAGAAAAAAAUGAAAAAAAAAAUGGGGGAAAUUGAUUUGAUUAAUUAUGCAUAGUACAUUGGAAUUCUGAUGAAUUUUCGGAUUUUAUUAAAUGUAGAAACAAUUUAAAAAUCAAGUGAAUAAGGGGCAAGAGUUUUUGCAAAAUAGAAGAAAUUCGAGUAAAAUCUUGUUAAUUGUGAAAUCAUACUCUAAUUUAUAGUUUUGAUUUAAUGUGACUGGAGAUGGAAACUCAGAAAAUGCUAUACAAAGCGCUGUUCGAAAUCAUUAUAAAAGAGAGGUUCACUUUUCGUAACUAAGGGGGAAUUGGAAAAAAUUGAGAGCAAAUACGUGAGAAGUCUUUUCCUACGGAUUUUCGAAAAAAUUCAGAGAGAAAAUUCGUGCAGUAAAAGAAUUCGUGAGAAAUGGGGUGGUAUUUCGUCUUUUGUGAAUUUUGGUUUUCCUUUUAUUCAUUCUUCAAAGUCAGCAAAAAGGAGUCUUGCUUUUUGCUUUUGAAAUUCUGAAAAAUCAGCAGAGAGAGGGACGUGUGAGGAGACAGGGCAAUCGAAGUGAGAGAAAAAGAAAAACAAAAAACAAAAAAAAAAAGGAAAAAGAAGAACAGUCGUUCUUCUUCUUCGCAGGCCUCGCCCGCCGGUGACCCCUGCUGCCCGAGUCGACGCCCAUCGACGCGCCUCUGCACCUGCGACCUGCUGCUGCCAAGGCCGACGCCGGAGCUCCGAAGCCUGCCGCUACUGCUCGUUCCCAUCGCGCCAGCCAUCAUCGUGCCGAAGCCGCUCCCCGCGCCGGUCACAUCGUCCCACCAGCCGCCGGAGAUCCCUCUCACCCACGAGCUCGCUGCCGACACCGACGCCCGCGCCACCUCCGCUCCGUUCGAACACCGCUGCCGAGCCGAGAUCCAGGCGCCGGAGCUCCUCGCCGCAGCCGCCCGAGUCCUCCGCCCGUGACCUGCAGUGCCCGACGGCCCCUCCCGUCUCUACCGCUGCCGACGACCAGCCGACUCCGCCCGUUGUCCGAGCACCGGCCCCCUCCGAGCGACCGCACCACAGCAACCCUAGCUGCUCUCACGACGCAUGACCCGCGACGGACGACCCGCCUGCAACCUGUGAGAUCUCGCACCGUCGCUCCACACCUCUGCUCCGCUCACGAAGCCGCCGUUGCUGCCGAGCCGCUCCACUAGCCCGACGCCCCGACGCCCUCGCUCGCCUGCUGCGCCCGGCCGUCGUCCUCCGCAAGCUCCACCCGACGCUGCUCGCCACCACGCCGGAAUCCCCCUCACCGGCGACUGCUCUAGCGCUCGACGUCCGCUCCGCCUCUGCUCCGACGCCGCUGUUUCCCCCGCGACGCCCCCUCGCCGGAGACCCUCGCCGGUGACUCUCCUCACCGGAGCAGCCCCCCACGGUUGCCAAGCCCAAUUUUGAAGAAAGAAAAAAAAAAAAAACACACACACACACACACACAUUAGGUAGUUUUUUUUUUUUAGUUUGUUUUUAUUUUUAUUUUAUUUUACUUUAUUUUUUUAGUAUAAUUAGUCCGACAUAGGAAAUUCCAACAUAUUACAUGAUUUAUAACUGCGUCUAAGUUUUUUUAUUUCAUCUAUAAGAUUUUAGAUAAAAUAAAUUAAUUAAAUAUGAAUAAAAUUGAUAUUUUGAUCUUUAAGGCCCUGUUUGGUAACCAUCCAAACAUGGCCAAAUUUUGAUUCUUUGUUCCCAGAAUCAGUUUCGGCCCAGAAUCGCGUUUGGUAACUUUUUUAUUCCCGGGAACAAAUUUGUUCCCAGAAUCAGUUUUGGACAAGAAUUUAGAACCAAAAAAAAGUUGAUUCUUGUUCCGGGAACGAAUUUGAGAAUCAAAAUCAACAAAUUUUCUUCUUCCCUUCGGCCAUCUCGCGACCGCCGUCCACCACUGCCCGCCACCAUCCGCCAUCCGCCACCGCCGCCGCCGUCUGCCGCCGGCCGCCGGUCCGCGAGCUCGCCAGACCAGGGCGAGGUCCCGGCGAGCUCGCCGGAGGCAAGCCCAGCCACCGGCGAGCUCGCCGGGGCUGGGCGAGGCCUCGCCGGGACUGGGCAGGGGCUGGGCGAGCCUCGCGACGCCCAGCCCCACCGGUGGCCAGGCAAGGCUUGCCUGGCCACCGGCGAGGCUCGCCCAGCCCCGCUGGUGGCCUGGCAGGCCUCACCCAACCCUGACGAGGUCGGCCUGGCCACCGGCGGGGCUCGGCCGAGCCUCGGCGGGCUUAGGCGAGCCUCGCCCGGCUGCCGGCGAGGCUCGCCCGACAAGGGCUGGCCUCGCUAAGGGCUGGCGACGCUCCGGUGAGGUCGUCAGCCCUCGUCUGGCCGGUCGCCGGACCGGCAGGAAGAAGAAGAAGAAGAAGAUGAGAAAAAGAAAAGAAAAAAGGAAAAAAAAAAGAAAAAGAAAAGAAAAAAGGAAAAAAAAAAGAAAAAGAAAAGAAAAAAAAAAGGAAAAUGAAAGAAAAAAAUGAAAAAAAGAAAAGAAAACAAAGGAAAAAAGUAAAAAAAUUAUUUAAAAAUUAAAAGAAAUUGAUUUGGAACAUAAUUAAUGAACACGGUACCAAACGCAAUUCUAUUCCAGAAUAAAAAAUUUUGGACAGUUACCAAACGGCUUAAAAUGCUUAGAAUCAGUUCCCGGGAACAGAAUCAAAAAGAAUCAGUUCUGAUCAGAAUCAGCUCCCGGGAACAGAAUCGUUACCAAACGCGCCCUAAGUCUUAAGAUCAACUUAUUGAUUUUGUCAGCGAAAUAUUACUCAUUUAUCUGAACGAUGUGUGAUAUUUUUGAUGACUUUAGAUGAUCUAUUUUAUCAUGAUUACUUUAUUUAUCUUGAAAUGUGUUUGAAUUAGGUUAUCUCAUGCUUUAGGAUAAUUUACAUAUUUAGACUAAGAAUUUUAUUUAUUCUGAAUUUUUGAAAUAAAAAUACCAAAAACCUGAAUUUAGGAUGUUAGAUUUUCAUUUCGUUAAUUUGAAUUGCAUGUUUAAUUAUUUGAUAUUUUUUUUAAUUUCAAAAUUAAUUAAAAAAAUCAUCAUGUGUAUGCCAUAUAAGAUUAGGGCAUCAUUUGUAUGUCAUCGCACAUUAUGGUAAAAUUGCAUAUUUUAUUUUAAGUUUAAAUUGAUUUAGAUAGACUACAUCUUAAGUUAGAAAUUGGUAAGUUAAGAUAACAUCUUUGUUUUAAUUAGGGUUUAGCCUGACCUAAUCCUUAAUAUAAGUUAGAUAGAAUCUUAAUUUAGCUAGAUAAUUUUCACAAUUUUCUAAUUUCGAAAUUUCAUAAAAAAAUACAAAAAAAUGUCUUUGAAUGAAUUAGUUUCAAUCUCUAGGAUAGAUUGCAUUUUUUCAAAAUAAAAUAAAAUAAAAAUGUCAUUGCAUGUCAUUUAGAAUUAGAUUCAUGAAAUGCAUGCUAUUUAGUGAUGGUUGCUAGGUCCGUUCAAUUAGAAAUUACAUGUAAUGAAUUAGGUCAUUUAGUUAAUAUUGCAUAUUGCAUGAUUUUCAUUGAUCAAGUGAAAACAAAAAAGAAAUUGCGUGUUAAUUAGAAAUCAUAUCUAGGGUUAUUGAUGUAGAUUCUAAUUUAACGUUGUAGAUGCUUUGGUUGAGGUAAGUUUUUGCAAUUUAUUCAUUGUUUAUUUGAGUAUUAAAUUGGUGGUUUACGCACCCGUAUAAUCACAUCACAUGGUAGGAAUAUAGAUUUAAAAUCAAUUUAAGUUGCCUGCAAAAACAUUUUUGAAAAUAAAAGAAUGGUACCGAAAGGACAUUAGAGAAAUCUAGUGUAAUCAAGUCCUCGUACCCAUAGUCUCUGGUUCAUAGGAGUAAAGUAAACUCUCAUUACUUUAUUUGGAUUUCUAAUCGACCCACCAAAAAUAGAUUAGUAACGACUCCUAGAUAAAAUAUAUCUGCAUGUUAAGAAUUUGAACAUAAAUUACGUAUUGGUAAGGCUUGGGAGAAUCCGAGUUAAGUCUACGCUUAACAAUUCAUUAGUCUAAUUUUAGGUGGUGCACCCAAAAAUUAGGUCGCGACAAUAGUAUCUCUCAAUCUAUCCAAACGACUACUUCAUUAAUCCGAUCCCCCCCCCCCCCCCCCCCCAAUAAAAUAGCCAAAUAACCAGAUAAUUCCAAGAUUAAAAUGACACCGGGUAAUUUCAGCAGAAGAAACAAAGGAAUCCACACACCUCUAGGUCCUAUGGUAACAGACAAAGCGUCAGCUAAUGUAUCAAUCCCAGAUUGAAGAGCCGCUCUGCAUUCCUCGCCCAAAGAUAUCUUCUUUGGACCUGCCUUUACCCCAAAGUUUCGAACUUUUUGCCCGUUUCUCCAUUGACCCAAUACCCCACUAUUUCCACUCAGAUUCUGAACAGUGCACAGCGCCAAUUCUUCAAUCUUAAUUCAAAGAAGUACAAUUCGUAAAAGGGCAUGAAGAAAAUGAGGGAAAACACAAGACCGGGGAAUUCACCGGAUAAGGGUAGCUUCUGAGGGAGGAUUGAAGGUGCUGUGAAGGGGGCAGACAUUCUUAUUUGAGGGCGGUUCUUCCUGGUCGUUGUUGUUGUUAUUUUUUUGUUUGUUUGUUUGUUUUUUUUUGUUUUUUUUUUGCGGGGUUUAAACUUUAAUGUUGGUCCCUGGGGUCGGGUCAAGCGACAAGUUACCCUGGGUCGGCGACAUGGGCUCUUUUCUUGGGCAAUCGAUAAGUUUUCACUAUUACUGUAUGUUUUUGUGUCUCGGAUGAUUUAAAGGGACACAAAUUUUGGAAAGAUAAAAUCUUAGUGGGAGUUAACACACUCAAAUUUUGGAAAGAAACUUUAGAAUUGAAAUUUUUUUGGCUGAGUCGAUGAAGGCGAAAGAAGAGAAGCUUAAAUGACACCCAUGUAUAAAGGGACUACCAAAGAGCGAAUGCUUUCUAUAUCUCGAAUCUAUUUUGCCAAAAGAGAAAGGGAAAGUAGAUGGAGAUAUCACCAAUGGAGUUCAUACAAUAUAGAUAUUCAGUGUGAUAAGCACAUUGAUAUAAUAAUGACAUAGCGAAAUUCAUAUAACCAACUCCAUACAGUGUGAUAAGAUUGAGCCUGUCGUUAUAGGUUUCAAAAUUUGCAAAUAAAACUUAGGAAGUGUGGGUUUUUAGGAUGUUUCUAGAAAUAGGUGCAAAUAUGCUCUAAAUCUUUUACAUUGAUACAAAUUUAGUUAUAAACUUUUCAAUUGAACUAAUUCAGUCCUAAACUUUUUCAUAUUGGUACCAAUUUAGUCUGUCCGGCCAAUUUAAACUAGAAAUUGAUGACGUGGUUGCCAACAGUCUUACGUGGCGUCGCCGGUACUGAUGUGGACAAACUUUGUAAAUUUUUAAUCUUUUUUUCUCUUUUUUUUCUCUUUCUCCUUAACCCCUUGGCCAACGAGGUCACAGGUUGACCAUCAUUGGCCAUAGGUUGGUUGGGGGCAAGGGCCCCUGUGCCCUCACUAGCCACAGGUGAGGGCGUCAGCCUUUGCCCAGAUCUAGGUGAGGGUCGAAACCCUUGCCUAUUGGCCGAUGAGGGUGCAAAGGGCCUUGCUCCUGGCGGGCGAGCGCCGCAAUGCCUCAGGCGAGGUCGUCGUGGCCCUCGCCUAGAUCUGGGCGAGCGCCGCCACACCCUCACCCGCCAUGAGCGAGGACUACCGUGCCCUCGUCGGCCAACGGGCAAUGAUUUAGGCCCUCGCUUGGAUUUGGGCGGGGGCUGACGCCCUCACUUGUGGCCGGCAAGGGCACAGGGCCCUCGCCUUGACUAGCUUGUGGCUAACAAUGGUCGAUUGGCAGCCUCGUUGGCCAAGUGGUGAGGAGCCAAAAAAAGGAAAAAAAAAAGAGAAAAAAGAAAAAAAUAAUUAAAAAAUAUUAAAAAAUUUAUAAAUUUAUAAAUUUUGUCCACAUCAAUGCCACCAGCGCAACGUGGGACUGCUAGUGGCCAUGUCGGUAAUUUUCGGCUUAAAUUGAUCCGAUGGACUGAAUUGGUAUCAAUGUAAAAAUAUUUAGGACUGAAUUAAUUCAAUUGAAAAGUUUAUAAUUGAAUUGGUGUAAAUGCAAAAUGUUUAAGACUUUUUUGGUACUUUCGUUGAACUACCAAAGAGUGAAUGUUUUCUAUAUCUCGAAUCUAUUUUGCCAAAGACAAAGGGAAAAUCGAUGGAGAUAUCACCCAUGGAGUUCAGACAAUAUAGAUAUUUAGUGUGAUAAGCACAUCGAUAUAACAAAGACGUAGUGAAAUUCAUGUAACCAACUCCAUAUAGUGUGAUAAGAUUGGGCUUGUUGUUAUAGGUUUUCAAAAUUUUCAAAUAAAACUUAGGAAAUGUGGGUUUUAGUCUAAAUUAGGAUUUUUCUAGAAAUAGGUGCAAGUAUUUAUUCUGUACAUCAUAUUUCAAUGUCUGCUAACUUAACAAUAAGAAUCGAUCGUACGAAAUGAAGCAGAAGCAUUAUUUAGUUAUAAAUUGUUACAAAGGCCUGUUGGUUGCAUUGAUUGAGUAUAAACUUGCUCAUGGAUGACUUCAAAAAACCUUGGAGUUGUUAAGACAUUUAUAAAGUCGCUAAUCAAAUAAUUUUGAAUUACUAUCAUAUUAGAAAAAUUGUCUUAUGCAAAUUCAUUUUUUGGGUCCGAAAUAUCUACAUUUCAUUAAUAGCUUGCAAAAAAGGGACCCACUAGCGGUGUCUCAAAACAUAGCAGAUCUUUAAGGACCUGUGGAGGAUGAGCUGAUCGGUUUGCCCUCUUCCUGUGGGUCUUCGUCACCUAGUUAGCCAUAUUAUUUGUGGCCCCAUUACAAUGGAUUGGCUUUAAAUAUGGCAACUGAAAGACUUCAGACUUCUAACCGCGAGCUCGCCUCAUGAGAUUUUGCCCUUUUUCUUUAAUCUAUCUUUGGGCAGUCUUUCCACUGGAGACUUUGCUUAAUACUGCUGAUAAGGUUUUCUAGCUUUUGGGAAAGGGCCUUCACAAAAGUUGUAGUUCUCAUUCUCAGCCUAUUUUGGAAAAUACCUUAAACUUUCAAAGGUCUCAAAGGUUUUGCAUUUUCUUAAACACUUUCCCAAGGAAAGUUUUCCCAAACGCACCUUUAAGUCAAUCGACGACUCUAGAAGAAGUCAUCGGUCAGAAUCCAAAAUGGGAAAGGUUUCUGCUUGCUCUGCUGUGGAGACAAGGACAUUCUUUGUGAAGCCAUCGAUUAGAAUCCCAGAUGAGUUGCGACAUACGGACAAUUAAUCCUUCGUAUGAUCCAGGUUGGUGCGCAGCGUCAAUAUUUACUUUUGUUUCUCCCCUUACUAGAGGAAUCCAAGUACCCUCCUCCUUCUUGUUCGCAUCUACUGAUUUUCUGUCCAAGCUUCCCCAUUUACUGAAGUUUUUUAGCAUUUGUUGUGCUGAUUCAACUAGGGACUUCGGAGCAGUAGGGCAUCUUCUAGAGACGAGGCUAUUUCUUGAUUUCCAGAUUUUCCAGUACGACCUAGAGUUCGAAGUUUUCGCGCUGAGGCUCCUGGGAUUCUUCGUGGGUAAAGCAUAAUAAACGACUGGGACUCUCGAAAGCAUCUAGUCUUGAAUAAGAGAAAGCAUUGAGAUAACACAUACUUAGAUCCGAAACGAGAAAGGGGGAGUGGCGAACAAAGAAGAAAAUGUACGGCUUACAAAUUGUUCUGCUACUAGCCCUGUUCGUGUGCUUUUACAUACUCCUGGGGCAGAAAAAAGCCAGGGACCCUCAGACGUACGAUGUGUUUUUGAGCUUCAGAGGUUACGACACUCGCAAGAGCUUCACCGAUCACCUGUACAAUGGCCUGAAGGCUGCUGGGUUCCAUGUGUUCAGGGACAACGAAGGCAUCAGGGCUGGCGAAAAGAUAGACAUCAAGCUUGAACAGGCCAUCAGGAGUUGUAGGAUCGCGAUUCCCAUCAUCUCUAAAAACUAUGUAGAGAGUAAAUGGUGCCUCCGAGAGCUCACUGAGAUUAUGAAUUACCGCAAAAAGCACAACAUACGAGUCUUUCCUGUAUUCUAUGAAGUAGAUGUUCUAGAUUUAUGUGGCCCAAGCGGUCGUUUUGCGGUCGAUCUAGCAAACCAUAAGGCCAAGUACCGCAAGGAAUCGCAAAAAUGGGCGAAAGCACUGACUUCUGUCGCGCGGAUUAGAGGAUGGACAUCACAGACCAUUGCUGAUGGGUAUGUAUGCAUGAAUGUCUGUCUGUCUGUCUGUCUCUGUGGAUGUAUGUAUUUCGAAUCUACAGAUCUGUAUCCGUCACAAAUCUGGUUCUGAAUCCCUGUGAUACUUGGAUGGAAAUGACCGAUCUGGAGUCGCUGAAUUAGGAGAAGGGAGGAUUCAAACUAUACGCCUAAUCUUUGUUUUAUAAAUCAAUAUUUGGGCAGGCACGACGGAGAGCUGGUGAAAAUGGUGGUCGAAAGAGUUUCGAGUGAAUUGCAGACAAUGUGGAUCGAACGGCUCCCCAUAUUUCCUAUGUUGAUGUCCAAUUACCACAUAAGAUCAGGUAUCUUCCAAUUCCAUUUUAGCCAAGUGCCUAUUAUUCGUUAAGUAUAGUCGGUGUUCAUCACAUGAGAGCUUUGGCCUCUCGUCAUUUCUCAGGUGAAGAAGGCAUGUAAGCUUUGCGUGGUUUAUGACCUAAACCGAUUUUGUGGCUCUUAAAAGUUACUUGGUCAUUUUGAAUUUUCCUUUGAUUCGCAAUGGCUGCAUCUUGUCAUCAUCCCUUUUGUUUUGUCUUGUUGGAUCACAGCGUAUGGUUACUUUUCGGAGAAGAAAAGAGGAGAGGUGUUCUUGACCUUUCACCCUGAUACACGACCUGGCUUUGCUGCUUACCUCUAUGGCAGCCUUGUGGGUGCAGGAAUUAGAGUGCUUAGAGAUGAUCAUCCGUACCUGAUAGGUACACAUGUUAAUCAAGGGAUUUUGAAUGCCAUCCACCAUUGCAAGAUAUUAAUUCCAAUUCUCUCUGAAAAUUUUGCUUCUUCUCAAUGGUGCCUUGACAAUCUUGCUGAGAUGGUUGAUUGCAAGAGAAAAAAAGGGCAAAAGAUAUUGACCAUUUUCUACAAAGUGAAGUUCUCGGAUGUGAAAAACAUCUCGGGUUCUUUUGGAAAGAAUAUGCUUGAACAUAAGGAAAAGGUCCGGCCACUUGUCUAUGGCAGGUGGGAGGAAGCUCUUGAUGAGAUCACGUCCUCCAAAAUAUGGGAAUCAGAGAAAGUCGCCAAUGGGUACUUACUUUCAUCAUAUUUCCAUCAAAACCUUAGUUUGAUCCUAUUACAGGAAACUCUUAUACUACUUAAAGCUUACUUCAAAUUUAUUUGGCAAGUGGCAGGAAUGAAGCUGAACUUUCGACAAAGGUAGUCAAGGAGGUUUUGAUGUUGGUGACAAAUCCCCAGAAGCUUGAUCCAUCCUAAUAUUGACUCAAUCUUGAAUUUGGUAACUACUCGUUUUUAGCAUAUGUGGUUCCCGUGUUACAAGAGGAUUUUUCUCAACCAUCAAAUGUAUCAUCAUUUUUUGUCCGUCCUUCCCAUUGAUUUUCCCGUAGACCGGCAAUAAGUUGUUGUGGAGUUAAAGAAACAUGUUACGCUUGUUAUGUCGUAUAAUUUCUUUAAUAAAUAUGUCAUUUUUAGACUCAGCUGUGACCCCAUCAAUGAAUGUAUCGUGUUCGGAUUUGACAAGUCUGUUCUGUACAUAUAGAAAGAAGAUAUGAUAAUAAGUGGGAAUGUAGACGGGCGAAAGGAGGAGAGAAAAAUGUCUAAGAUAAUAAGUGGGAAUAAAUGUUUUCCCAUAUUCUUUUUCAAAUCUUAUUUUAUGCUGGAAUGAGCUGAGUUUUCGACUAGUUAUGGUACGGAAUAUGUACUAGACUUUAUUAGAAGGCAAUUUGUAUUUUAUGCUGCAACGAGUUGAGUUCUCAUCAGAGGCUGGGUGAACCUUUGCCUGUGGUCAAUGAGGGACCUCGCCAGUCAUUGUCUCUGAUUGGUCACUGAGAUCCAACAAUCGAUUGGAGGAAGAAGGAAGGGAAGGAAAAAAAAGGGAAAGAGAAAGAAAAAAUAAAAAAGAAUAAAGAAUAAAAAAUUUAAAAUAUAUUAAGAUAUUAUUAAAAGUUGUAUACGGUAGCGUUGGUGUCAUGUAAGCCAACUAACGUCCACAUCAACAAUGUCCGGUCAAAAUUAAUUGAAAAAACUGAAUUAACACUAUAUCAAAAGUUUAAGAUUAAAUUGACAUCGAUAAAAAUGUUUAUAAGUAAGUUAGUAUAAAUGUAAAAGGUUUAAGAUUUUUUUUGGCACUUUUCCUAAGCACCCACUACAUGCCUAGGAACAAAAAAGUCAUAUGAUUGUAGCAAGUGGAUCAAAUUCUUGAAGAAUGGAACGAAAAUCCUCUAAAGAGACAAACUUACAUUCCAUUGGGAGUAGCAACAAUGACGAAUGGAGUUGCACCUUAGUUUUGGGGUCUGUUCUCCGUCCCUAUAGGUUGCUUAGGUUGUAUUUGACAACAAUUGGACAUUGAAACCAGUAUUUUAUCAUACUUUGCCAAUUUCAACAUGAUAGAUUCGACAAGAAAUGUGAAGAAACUUAUACCUGGAGAGUCGAUUAAAUAAGGCCAUAAACAAACAUCAACAUGUCGAAAUACCUUACGAAUUGUUCUUAGACCACCAAGAAUCAGUCGGAAAAUGCCUCUAAACCGAUUAAAUCAAUCUGAUCGAAUUGGUCAACUUUAAUCCCUAAAGCCAAUGCUGGUCAAUGGAUGAUGUGGCAGGUGCUUACGUAGAAAUGACGUCACGGAUGACGUGUAGGUGUGUGGGACACCAGAGGCACGUAGAUCUCACGAGCAGAGAGGUUGGGCGGCGCGUGCGGUGUUUGUUUGAAAAGUGGUCACCGUGUUUUGACUUUUCUAAAGAUUUUGAGGCUGAUGGGGGUGUCUAUCAUUAGAAACAACCAACCAAACGUGUGAAAAUUGCACUCACAACCAAAAGAGUUUCGAUUCAUUUGCAUGGAAAAAAGUUUUUGUCCUAACUUGAACCCUGGGUGUCAUGGGUGCCUAAUUCUAGUUAUUCUGCUUCUGCCUCAAUCAUGGAUUUGACCCUGUCUCGGUGUUUUAUCACAUCACGUGCGCAAUGCACCCACAUGUUGAGUCUCAAAUGACAGGAUAAUCCUGACGCAAAUGGGAGUAUCGAGAUAGCCUCAAUCCCCCCUGUCUAUUCAGACCUUCAUCUUUCAGGUCAAUUUGUCUGAAUCAUGUGUGCACAUGAUCAUCAUCUAUGAAUAAAUUCUGGAUUCCAAACACGCCUUAUUUCUUAAAACGGUAGUAUAAAAUAGAUGGAGAAAGCAAAUUCUAUGCAUUUUCAUACUUCAACAACAACAUUCAGAUACAUAUUUCGUUGAAAUCAAAUCAAUGUGAAAACCACCAAUCCCAAAUCUUAUUGCACAUUAAACAUUCGAUAGUAUGCAUCAAUGUUAUAGGGGGCGUGAAAAUCGGUCUGAAUCCUCCGAUGUAACUCUUAUAUUGGAUCAAGCUAGUUGUCUGGGCAUCCGAGAAGAGGGAAGAAGACUUUAAAUAAUGACAAAAUGAAUUAAUGACACUUAUCUGUUUUUAUCCAAACAGUAGAAAAAAGGCACAUUGAACAAACAUCCUUCAAUGUCCAUCCUAAUUAUUUGAUUCAAGUUCAGUAAAAAGAUCUUUCAUGUCACUGCCGAAUCUACCACAGCUGGUUGACACUCUUCCCGAGUGGCUUCUAUCUUCAGAAUUUGCCCUUCUUUCAUUUCCUUGCAAGUGUGCAGGUUACAAUUCUUUUCUAGAAUGUGAUUCAUGAAAGUAUGGAUAAAUGUUUUUUAUGUUAAUUUUCGUCCAAGCUUGGGAAAUAGUUGAACUGUUCUUUAUCGAUUGUCCUUACUUGUCAAAGCAACAGUCUUCCGAACGUCCGUGCUUCCUGAAUAGAAGAUUAUGAUUUCCCGACUCUCGAAAUCGCAAAAAAAAAAUGCCGUGUUUGCUUUUGGGGCUUAGCUUACUCGCUAGGAUUCUGGACAAGUUUUAUUGAUUUUCGCAGUUGAAUGAGCAUUUUCUCAAAUAAGUGCUGCUGAAGCCAUUUUUCUGCUCAUAAUUGAUCAUAAACUCUCCCGUCUUCUUAAAGAUCUGCGUUGUGAUAUUGAGAAGUUAUCUCUGCAAACCAAUAUAAGAUAGGUCUCUUCUUCAAAACAUGUCUCUUCUCGGACACUAUCACCAACAAAAGUUCGUGUUAUGUUUAAUUUUUUGCAGGCUUUAGAUGUGUGGAUGUGCAUGUUGCUGUGCCUAUAGAAUUUGCAACAUCUCCUUUUUGUAUGAAUCAGAGGAGAUGGAUUAUCACCGUUCAGCGAUGUCACAGCACUUUCCUGGGAGAGUAGGUCCAUGAACCGAAACUUAAUGUCAAAACAAGUACAUGAAGGUAACAAUAACAGGACCGAGCCCUUGUCCAUAUCAUGGCUCAAUAUCCAAUCCUCCUCGGCCUCCUUUCUGCCAUCAUUGCUUUCUAACGUCUCGUACAAAUCCUAGCUAAAUUCUUCACAUUCGUAAUUGUAAUUGUUUUGAGUUGGUGGUAAUUGAACAAAUCCAGGGAAACAUAGAAAAAUCACUGCAACGAUUGGGAGAACCGCCAUUAUUAACGGAAGAAUUACUGCCUAUGGGAGCUUCAGUCAACAGAACCACAGAACGCCAAGAUCCAUAACCAUCUCAAUGUUCAGUAAUGCUAGAUAAACGUUAAAAAUUAUCCACAAGAUCCAACGUGAAUAGGCCCAGGGUUUGAGUGGCAUCUCACCCCUAGCCACGGCUCAUCCGCUGAUUAAAAUGCCAAUCCUGCUUGUACGCCCGAUACUCUUCUCGGAAUGUUUAAACAAGCAAAACAUUUUGUUCGAGAAUCCCAGUUAAUUAGUUACUCAUUGGAGGUUUGCAAAAUUAGUUAGUGUAUCAAUUUUAUAGGUUUCUUUGAGCUCCUAGCAUUGCUCCUCUGUUUCUGGAGGAUCCCUUACGAUGCCCCGUCUUAAGGGUGUCUAAAUGGAGGUGGUGGCUCCCGAAAUCAGAUGCUAUCUGACAUGUAUUUGCCUCUGUAAAUAAGACCUUCUGAACUCGAAAUGCUUCACUAUCCCACGAGAAGAGGGAGGCUGAGGAGUAGAAAGUAGACUCUGAGAUGCUUCUGAGGGAAUACCACUCGGGCUGAGUUUCAUUGGCACUCUUGAUGAGAACAGAGUAUGUAAAAUGCAAAGACGGACAUGCCAAAUCUAUGGUCUCACCAAUCUUAAUUAAUCUAAUGUUCAGAAUAAAGAUGAAAUUAAUUAUAUAUACUCUAUCUGCCUAGAAACAUAAAUAUGGGCCAAGGCAGAAUAUUUAGAUACCAUAUAAAUCAGACAUAAUGGCACUUGAGAGGUUGGUAUACUGAAAUUUAACUCGACUACUGUGAUUAAAUGACUUCUUAUAUGUAUUGUCGCUGCCGGGUCCAACCACAACGGUCAUGCCCAAGUGCUCAAAUUAUAGACUAAGCAAGCCUUUAGCAAUUAUACUAGUACUUGUUUUUUGUAUUUUGGCAACAUAUGUACAUAAUGUCAUUCUAUUAUCAGGAAUUGGAUUUAACUGCAAUACCAGCAAUGUCUUGGAAAUAACAGAAGCUCUUUCAUUUCAAGAAGAUAUCUUGAAGUCUUCUCGAUGUUUAUUUAUUAACUGCUCAAGCAAGAAAAGAAGUUAAAGGGAUUAUUUUUCAACGAAUUACUUGCCUUCUAAACAAAAGAGGCUGCUAAAAGAAGUAACAAUAUAUAUAUUAACGCUGAAUGAUUUGCAAUGAAUCUGAAAGCUGCUUAAGGAAAGUUUCUGAUUCUCAUUUACCUAGCCCUUGCUGAUCUGAUNNNNNNNNNNNNNNNNNNNNNNNNNNNNNNNNNNNNNNNNNNNNNNNNNNNNNNNNNNNNNNNNNNNNNNNNNNNNNNNNNNNNNNNNNNNNNNNNNNNNNNNNNNNNNNNNNNNNNNNNNNNNNNNNNNNNNNNNNNNNNNNNNNNNNNNNNNNNNNNNNNNNNNNNNNNNNNNNNNNNNNNNNNNNNNUGAUGAAGAUAGGAAUCUUGCCUGUUUAUGCUCUCUUUCCCACUAUUUAAGAUAAUAUUUUCUUCAAACUUCAAUUUUUUUUUCCUAAUACGUUAGACUGCCCCAACUGUAGCAUAGCUUUGCCAAACAAUUAAUCUUUAUCAUUUAUCUGUGUGCUAUUAAAAAUGUGAUCUUUAUGAAGGUGAAACCAAUCUAAUGGUACCUUAAUUGCACCUUUUUAAGUUCAAGCUCCCAAGCACAGUUCCUGAUCCUUAUCGUGUUUUUAAGGUUCAUGAUUUAGUGGGAGAACCGCUUAGACUUUGCACCUAAAAAAUGAGAAAAGUAUUACAAAAGUUCUAAAUCUAUUGCAUUGGUAUUAAUUCAAUUCUAAAAUUUUCAAAUGGAUCAAUUUAGUUUUAAACAUUUUCAUAUUGGUUCCAAAUUUAGUCAAUUCAACUAAUUUUGGUAAAAAAUCGGGUGAUUGAGGCGAUCGGCCAGAGGCAAUUCUAUGUCGCACGAUUAGCGUUGAUGUGGAUAUUUUUUUAUAUAGCUUUUCAAUAAUUUUAUGAUAUUUUUUUUUCCUUUCCCUUUCCCUUUUUUUUUUUUUUUUUUUGGGCCAUGGCUGGCGAGGGUCACUCUUGCAAGCCACGGGCGAGGGAUGGCCUUGUGCAGCCGCACCUAGGGAAGGGCAUGCACUGGCAAGGGGUGGCCUCACCAAAUCUAGUGAGAGGGGCCUUGUCGGCCCUCGCCCGAGUGUGGCUUGGCGAGGUCGACCCUUGCCAUGAAUGACCUACAUUUGAUUUGACUAGACCAAGAAUGUUGAUUUAGUUUAGCGAGCAAAAAAUCGAUUUCAAAUAUACAACCUAUUGAAAUAUAUAUAGAGGUCUUUCCCCACCUAAAAACUUAAAUUUUUGGAUUGGUUUUUGUAAUUUGGUAUCAAAGCUAAUGCUAUUCUUUUUUUGUAUUAGUAUCCGCUUCUAUCAGUCAAAUUCCAUGUGUUAGCUUCUAGUUCGGCUUGCACAUAAGAGAGGACAUUACUUGAUAGCGGAUUCUAUAUGAUCUUUAUAUUUAUGUGGUUUUUUUUUUUUCAUUUAAAAUUUAAAUCUUGAAUAGCAUUGCCGUCCCCAACAUGCCGAAAUGAUUAAUGAAAGCUGUUCAAGAAUCAUACUUGCAAGAGAAAACUGCUUAUGUACAGGUACAUAGAAUUUUACAAUUUCCCGAGGCUUCUGAAAAUUUACCAACAGUCGAAUGCCUGAGACAUUCCACUUUUUCGUAGUCGCUGAUAGGAAUAGAAGAGUCUUGAACGGACAAGGACCAUAAUUCCAGGCGAAAUAUCAUAUGCAGGUCAUGGCAUGCCUCUGUUCAAUGUAGCAAGACGACAAAGAAAGAGGCAGAAGGAAAAUAAUAAUGCUUUUAAUUUGGGCACGAUACAUCUGUCUGUAUUCUUACCAUCUGCCAAGGACAGAAGCAAAUCCCACAUGUUUAGUUUAGCAGAAAGGAUCAUUACGAGAUCUGCUUUUGGAUGCUUUCUUAGAUUUUAGGUUAAGGAUGUCGAUGAUGUGGACUACGUGACAUGUAUAGGCGGCAAAUAAUUACUCCAAAAGUACACAUGAUUGCUUUAACUUUCUUUACGUAGCUAUGCUGCUGUAUAGAUUCUUGCACAUAAUAAAUUAUAUCCAACAUACAUCAAGCACAGACCACAGACACGUAUACGUGAAUAAUGCUUGACCUGCAUGAUCAGGUAAUAGAUGGAGCCUCCCUUUAUCUUUCCCAUUUUGGGGCAAGCAAAUCUUGUUGUAGGUCUAGCUAGAAACUUCAAGGCAGCUACCUUUUGUUUUUUUUUUUUGUUUUCGUCAAAAUUGGGAUCGGAGGAUCUAUACUUUAAAUGGGAUAGCGCGCCCCCAAACAGGUCCUCCCCACUCACAAAAAAAAGUUGAUUAACUUUUAAGUCCACGACCAUCUAUUUUUCAUGAAGGUGGAUGGAUGGCAUGUUGAGUAGUUGACAUCCGAAAAUUCAAGAAGAUAUGCUACGCACUAGCACCGGAAUGAGGCUGUAAUGGCAUGUUCAUCAUAUGACAAUAGUUAAUUAUACCUCGAAUCAAAGAUUAUGUAUAUCGGUGUGGAACUCUUCUAAUAAUAUUCAAAGAGGUCGGCAAUGGAGAUCAUUGAUCUUUCCACUUUUCAAAAAAGAAAGUGCGAAAGUGCAAUCACCAAAGGGUAUGCUCGUCAAUUCACACGGUGCUCCCCAUUAGCUACAGCACUUUAGGACUUCUAUAAGAGGAGAAAAGGAGGCACCAUGAUUCCAUGUCUACCCAAAACCCACAAAGCAAACAGGAUUGCAUCAUUCCCUGCCCCAGGCACAGCUUGCCUCUAGCUUGCCUUUAGCUUUGCGCCCAAAAACGAAACAAUCGAGCAAAAGAUGGAUCAAAAUGACAACCUGAUGAAAGUCCAGAAUGUUCACAAAAUCAACAGCAAGAACAGCCACUUCCUCAUGAGGGCUUUGAAAUUUGUCAUCUCGAUCUCUCUGCUGUCCUUCGUUGUGUGUUAUUCCUCAGGAUACUCUCUCUUCCCUCACUCCUUCAACCUCUGCUUCUCCACGAUCCUCUUUCGGAUUUUCACUCGCUCCCUG